RNAcentral lists this ribosomal RNA (301 nucleotides) under uncultured bacterium. RNAcentral describes it as "partial 16S ribosomal RNA". It matches the Rfam family "Bacterial small subunit ribosomal RNA", at positions 509 to 807 of the family's 1533-position model. The record is from RNAcentral.
CAGUAGCCGCGGUAAUACGGAGGGGGCUAGCGUUGUUCGGAAUUACUGGGCGUAAAGCGCACGUAGGCGGCUUGGUAAGUUAGAGGUGAAAGCCCGGAGCUCAACUCCGGAAUUGCCUUUAAGACUGCCGAGCUAGUAGGUGAGAGAGGUAAGUGGAAUUCCGAGUGUAGAGGUGAAAUUCGUAGAUAUUCGGAAGAACACCAGUGGCGAAGGCGGCUUACUGGCUCAUUCUAGACGCUAAGGUGCGAAAGCGUGGGGAGCAAACAGGAUUAGAGACCCCCGUAGUCCCUGUCUCUUAUAC